AUACGGAGGAUCCGGGCGUUAUCCGGAUUUAUUGGGUUUAAAGGGAGCGCAGGCGGAGAUGCAAGCGUGACGUCAAAUUUCGGGGCUCAACCCCGUCUCGCGUCGCGAACUGCGUCCCUUGGUUGCGGGAAGGGGAGGCGGAACUCGUGGUGUAGCGGUGAAAUGCAUAGAUAUCACGAAGAACUCCGAUCGCGAAGGCAGCCUUCCGGCCCGUCAACGACGCUCAUGCUCGAAGGUGCGGGUAUCAAACAGGAUUAGAUACCCUGGUAGUCCGCACAGUAAACGAUGGACACCCGCGGUUUGGCCUGUAUGGCUGAGCCGCCAAGCGAAAGCGUUAAGUGUCCCACCUGGGGAGUACGCCGGCAACGGUGAAACUCAAAUGAAUUGACGGGG
Molecule: ribosomal RNA, 393 nt
Filed under: uncultured bacterium
Lineage: Bacteria
Description: partial 16S ribosomal RNA
Rfam family: Bacterial small subunit ribosomal RNA
Source: RNAcentral